UGAAGCGACAAAUGCCCUGCUUCCAGGAAAAGCCUCUAAGCAUCAGGUAACAUCAAAUCGUACCCCAAACCGACACAGGUGGUCAGGUAGAGAAUACCAAGGCGCUUGAGAGAACUCGGGUGAAGGAACUAGGCAAAAUGGUGCCGUAACUUCGGGAGAAGGCACGCUGAUAUGUAGGUGAAGCGACUUGCUCGUGGAGCUGAAAUCAGUCGAAGAUACCAGCUGGCUGCAACUGUUUAUUAAAAACACAGCACUGUGCAAACACGAAAGUGGACGUAUACGGUGUGACGCCUGCCCGGUGCCGGAAGGUUAAUUGAUGGGGUUAGCGGUAACGCGAAGCUCUUGAUCGAAGCCCCGGUAAACGGCGGCCGUAACUAUAACGGUCCUAAGGUAGCGAAAUUCCUUGUCGGGUAAGUUCCGACCUGCACGAAUGGCGUAAUGAUGGCCAGGCUGUCUCCACCCGAGACUCAGUGAAAUUGAACUCGCUGUGAAGAUGCAGUGUACCCGCGGCAAGACGGAAAGACCCCGUGAACCUUUACUAUAGCUUGACACUGAACAUUGAGCCUUGAUGUGUAGGAUAGGUGGGAGGCUUUGAAGUGUGGACGCCAGUCUGCAUGGAGCCGACCUUGAAAUACCACCCUUUAAUGUUUGAUGUUCUAACGUGGGCCCCUUACCGGGGUUGCGGACAGUGUCUGGUGGGUAGUUUGACUGGGGCGGUCUCCUCCUAAAGAGUAACGGAGGAGCACGAAGGUUGGCUAAUCCUGGUCGGACAUCAGGAGGUUAGUGCAAUGGCAUAAGCCAGCUUGACUGCGAGCGUGACGGCGCGAGCAGGUGCGAAAGCAGGUCAUAGUGAUCCGGUGGUUCUGAAUGGAAGGGCCAUCGCUCAACGGAUAAAAGGUACUCCGGGGAUAACAGGCUGAUACCGCCCAAGAGUUCAUAUCGACGGCGGUGUUUGGCACCUCGAUGUCGGCUCAUCACAUCCUGGGGCUGAAGUAGGUCCCAAGGGUAUGGCUGUUCGCCAUUUAAAGUGGUACGCGAGCUGGGUUUAGAACGUCGUGAGACAGUUCGGUCCCUAUCUGCCGUGGGCGCUGGAGAACUGAGGGGGGCUGCUCCUAGUACGAGAGGACCGGAGUGGACGCAUCACUGGUGUUCGGGUUGUCAUGCCAAUGGCACUGCCCGGUAGCUAAAUGCGGAAGAGAUAAGUGCUGAAAGCAUCUAAGCACGAAACUUGCCCCGAGAUGAGUUCUCCCUGACUCCUUGAGAGUCCUGAAGGAACGUUGAAGACGACGACGUUGAUAGGCCGGGUGUGUAAGCGCAGCGAUGCGUUGAGCUAACCGGUACUAAUGAACCGUGAGGCUUAACCUUACAACGCCGAAG
Molecule: ribosomal RNA, 1377 nt
Filed under: Escherichia coli
Lineage: Bacteria; Pseudomonadati; Pseudomonadota; Gammaproteobacteria; Enterobacterales; Enterobacteriaceae
Description: partial 23S ribosomal RNA
Rfam family: Bacterial large subunit ribosomal RNA
Source: RNAcentral